AUGGUUACAAGUCGUAAUAAAACGGCACGGAUUUUGUGUUCUCUGCCCCAUCUCAGCAAACCGUGGACUCUUCAGGUUGUUCCAGGAAGCUGUAUCAUUUUCCAUACUGACCCCCAGCCUGAAGCCUGGGACAGCAGGUUCCUCUCCUGUAAUCCGGUGUUAAGGCCCAGGAGGCCAGGGCUCUGCGCGGGGAGCGGCCACGACAGAAGGGAAGGGCGUGCCCCAUGGCACAGAAAGCAGAAGUUGGCUGCGGGAUCAGUAGGACUGGUUUGGGGAUCCUUGAUCGAGGCCACUCCGCUGAUGGCUCAGGCCGUUCCAGUUCCCAGACCGAAGGCAAGAAGGCAGAUUUGCUGUGCUCAGGACUCUUAGUGCCACGCUUCCCUCUGGAGCCCUUGUUACUGCCAGCCGUUCCUUGGCUUCCAGGAUGCAACGCCACGCAUCUGGCCAAAGCAGAGACUUGAAACUAUUGCCAGGGAAGUCAACAAAGACCUUCCCAUGCCUAGAGUGGGCUCCUGCUCGAGACGGGACCAGCUGUGUGCAUCUAGGGAAAUGAGACACGGAGGCAACACGUUCCCUGCACCCUUCCGUUACCUCAGGACCCUCUUGGAGUCUAAGUUGAACAGGAGACUGGGUCUUUUCUCAGCCAGGUGCCUGAAAUGACUGAAGGUAAGGGCGAUGGGCCGCAAGACAUUUCACAGACACAGUCAUUUCCCCUUUGGACAAUAGUCAAUUCAGCUUGCAUUAGGGUGUGUGUGUGUGUGUGUGUGUGUGUGUGUGUAUCACAUAUUAUAUAACAUAGGGUGUGUACUGUAUAUGUACAUCUGCAUAUAUGUGUGUGUGCAUAUAAAAAUGGCUCUGGGCCGCUGGGGGAAUCAGUUCCUUAAGUGUGGGACACUUGGUUUUGGCUUAGGUCAUGAUCUCAGGGUCCUGGUGAGGUUGAGCUCCUGCAUCAGGCUGGGCGCUGGCUCAGAACAGUCGGCUUGAGAGACUUUUCCUCUUCCUCUUCCUCCUCCUCUGCUCCUAUCCCGCUAGCGCUCUCUCUAAAACAAACAAACAAAAACUUAUAAAAAAAGGAAUGGUCAAGUCAGAGUACAUUUUUAAAAAAUAUUUUAUUUAUUUACUUGACAGAGAGAGAUCCCCAAAAAUAUAUUUUAUUUAUUUAUUUGAGAGACAGAGGAAGAAUGAGCAGGGGGAGAGGCAGAGGGAAAGGGAGAAGCAGACUCUCCACUGAGCUGGGAAUCUGACAUGGGGUUCAAUCCCAGGAUCCUGGGAUCAUGACCUGAGCCAAAGGCAGCCGCUUAACUGACUGAGCCACCCAGGCACCCCCUCUUUUUUUAAGAUUUUGAAUUACAUUUUAAUUAUGGAUAAACAAAAAUAUAUUUUUCAAUAAGAAUGUUCCAUGCAACAUUUGGGAAAUACUUAUAUGAAAACAUUAUUUGUCAUUUGUUUGAAAUUCAUAUAUAAGGGAAAGUUUUAUGCUUUAUCUGCCAAUCCAAGUUUAUUUCCCAAUCUUGAAAAUCAAGAAGAUUAAGGGGUGCCUGGGUGGCUCCACUGUUAAGCGUCUGCCUUUAGCAUAGGUCCUGAACCCGGGGUCCUGGGACCAAGCCCCAUAUCUGGCUCCCUGCUCAGCAGAGCGCUUGCUUCUCCCUCUCCCUCUGCUGCUCUGGUACUUGUGCUGUCUAUCUCUCACUAUCUCUCUCUCUGUCAAAUAAAUAAAUAAAUAAAUAAAAUCUUUAGGAGCACCUGGGUGGCUCAGUGGGUUAAAGCCUCUGCCUUCAGCUCAGGUCAUGGUCUCAGGGUCCUGGGAUGGAGGCCCGUAUCAGGCUCUCUGCUCUGCAGGGAGAUUGCUUCCUCCUCUCUCUCUCUCUGCCUGCCUCUCUGUCUACUUGUGAUCUCUCUCUCUCUCUGUCAAACAAAUAAAUAAAAUCUUUUGUUAAAAAAUCAAGAAGAUGAAAAUAUUGAUGCAUUUAAAAAUUUUUGAAUUUCUUUUCUUCUGUUCUUUUAUAUAAUACUUUUGAUCAUAAGUGAUAACUGACAUUAUGAAAAUUCAAGGAAUUCAUAGACGUCCAAAGCAGAAAGAACAAAUCUACUCACAUCUCAGGAAGAAAAAAAAUAAUCAGGGCUGGUAUUGGUGAUAUUCAAUAUUGUUUGAUAUUCUCAAGGAUAUCCCUAGGCACACAAGGAUGAAGAAGAAAGGGUGAAUGGAUGCACGUAUGUAGAGAGAGAAUCUAAUAAGACUGGAAUCAUACUACAUAUGCUUUUUAAAAAGUAUUAAAUUCAAAUUAUACUUCAUUUUAUUUUGUUUUAUUUUUAAAUUUUAAAAAACUAUAUAUUUAUUUAUUUGACAAACGCUUCUCGGCCUUUUGGCUAAGAUUAAGUGUAUUUAUUGGACAGAGAGAGUCACAGUGAGAGAGGGAACACGAGCAGGGGGAGUGGGAGAGGGAGAAGCAGGCUUCCUGCCUAGCAGGGAGGGCGACAUGGGGCUCGAUCCCAGGACCCUGGGAUCAUGACCUGAGCCUGAGGCAGACGCUUAACCGACUGAGCCACUCCGGCACCCCAAAUUUUACUUCAUUUAAUAGAAGAAAAAGAAACAUAGGAGAUCGAAAGAACUGCUGAACUUCAGGAAGUUGUUUCUUCACCACAAGAGAUACUAGUUUCACAAAAUCACCCUUUUUUUCUUCUCCAGAGUACUCUGAACUUCUCAGUCUGUUACCUUGUCUCUAAGGCAUAAUAUUUCUUUUUUUUUAAAGAUUUUAUUUUUUUAUUUGACAGAGAGAUAGAGAGAGCGCACAAGCAGGCAGAGCAGCAGGCAGAGGCAGAGGGAGAAGCAGGCUCUCUGAGGAACAGGGAGCCCAAAGCAGGGCUCGAUUCCAGGAUGAUGGGAUUGUGACCCAAGCCGAAGGCAGACGUUUAACCAACUGAGUCACCCAGGCACCCCGAGGCAUAAUAUUUCUUAAGACUCUCCCAAAGAUACCCCCUUAUCCUUAAGAAUAGCUACAGAAUGUUCCAGCAAGUAUGAUCAGGUCAUGUGAGGUCUGAUUUACUACGUAGGACCUCCUGUCCUGGACACUCAGAUGUCUUGGUCCUCAGGGGUCAGAAAUUUGAGAUCAGAACUAGAUAAGCAGAGUGAAGAAUGAAGUUAAAGAUACUCACAGCCAGGGACAGAGAAGAGAGAACAAAGCUUAUAUGAGAGCAGGACUUAGAAACAGAAGAGGGUAGAACAACGGCAUCCUAGGACGGCGAAUUGAAGAGUUUGUUCUUUCUUACUUUCUUACUUUUCAGUGCUUUCAGUGACAUUCUUCUGCUCCAGAGAAUGAAAUUGUUUAAUGUUAGCUUCUCAUGCAAAGGUUGCAAAUUGGCAGCUGCUGCCGGCAUCUAUCCUGCAGAGCUUUUUUGGAUGGUCAGCACGCUUUUCGAGAAAACAGAUUUCAGUUAGGGGCGGCUGGGUGGCUACCAGUCAGUUAAGUGUCUGCCUUCGGCUGGGUCAUGAUCCCAGGGUCCUGGGAUCAAGCCCCACAUGAGACUCCCUGCUCAGCGGGGAGCCUGCUUCUCCUUCUCCCUUUUCCCUUUUCCAUUCUCCCCACCUGUGCUCUCUGGCGCUAUCUCUUUGUCAAAUAAGUAAAUAAAAUAUUUUUUAGGGGUGCCUGAGUGGCUCAGUGGGUUAAAGCCUCUGCCUUCGGCUCAGGUCGUGAUCUCAGGGUCCUGGGAUCGAGCCCCUCGUCGGGCUCUCUGCUCGGCGGGAGGCCUGCUUCCCCCUCUUUCUCUGCCUGCCUCUCUGCCUACUUGUGAUCUCUCUCUCUCCCUGUCUCAAGUAAAUAAAAUCUU
RNAcentral lists this long non-coding RNA (3825 nucleotides) under Mustela putorius furo (domestic ferret). Its description in RNAcentral is "lncRNA (ENSMPUG00000030833.1)". The record is from RNAcentral. Lineage: Eukaryota; Metazoa; Chordata; Mammalia; Carnivora; Mustelidae.